RNAcentral lists this long non-coding RNA (1257 nucleotides) under Calidris pugnax (ruff). Its description in RNAcentral is "lncRNA (ENSCPUG00000012918.1)". The record is from RNAcentral. Lineage: Eukaryota; Metazoa; Chordata; Aves; Charadriiformes; Scolopacidae.
NNNNNNNNNNNNNNNNNNAGGGCCCGGCCCGGCCCCAGCGCGACGCCGCCGCCGCCGACAGAGGUGAGGGACCGGGGCGGGGGCACCGGGAACCGGUACCGGGAAGCACCGGGAAAGGGUACCGGAGGGUACCGGCAGCACUGGGGUUACGGGGAAGCGCGGGGAACCGGUACUGGGGGCACCGGGAACCGGUACCGGAGGGUACUGGGAGCACCGGGGUUACUGGGCAGCACCGGGAACCCGUACCGGAGGGUACCGGGAGCGCUGGGGGUAACGGGGAGCAGCGGGCGUUACCGGAAAGCACCGGGAACCGGUACUGGGAGCACCGGGGGUUACUGGGCAGCACCGGGAAGUGGUACCGGGGGGUACCGGGAGCACCGGGGGUACGGGGAAGCGCNNNNNNNNNNNNNNNNNNNNNNNNNNNNNNNNNNUACGGGGAAGCACGGGGAACCGGUACUGGGAGCACUGGGCGUUACUGGGCAGCACCGGGAAGGGGUACCGGGGGGUACUGGGAGCACCGGGGGCACCGGGAACUGGUACCAGGAGCACAGGGGGUUACCGGGAAGCACAGGGAAGUGGUACCGGAGGGUACCGGCAGCACUGGGGUUACGGGGAAGCGCGGGGAGCCGGUACUGGGAGCACUGGGAAGUGGUACCGGAGGGUACCGGGAGCACCGGGGGUUACCGGAAAGCACGGGGAACUGGUACCGGAGGGUACCGGGAGCACCGGGGGUUACUGGGCAGCACCGGGAAGUGGUACCGGAGGGUACCGGGAGCACCGGGGUUACGGGGAAGCACGGGGAACCGGUACUGGGAGCACUGGGCAGCACCGGGAAGGGGUACCGGGGGGUACCGGGAGCACCGGGGGCACCGGGAACUGGUACCGGGAGCACCGGGGGUUACUGGGCAGCACCGGGAGCUGGCACUGGGGGUAACGGGGAGCACCGGGCGUUACCGGAAAGCACCGGGAACCGGUACUGGGAGCACUGGGCAGCACCGGGAAGGGGUACCGGGAGCACCGGGGGUUACUGGGAGCACUGGGAAGUGGUACCGGGGGGUACCGGGACCACCGGGGGUUACUGGGAGUACUGGGAAGUGGUACUGGGAGCACUGGGAUUACCGGGAACUGGUACUGGGGGGUACUGGGGGCACUGGGAUUACCGGGACCGGGGGGGGAGUUACCGGAAAGCACCGGGAACCGGUACUGGGAGCACUGGGCAGCACCGGGAACUGGUCCCGGGGGGUACCGGGAGCACCG